This 73-nucleotide transfer RNA is filed under the name Aeriscardovia sp. RNAcentral describes it as "tRNA-His". It matches the Rfam family "tRNA". From Rfam's summary of the family: Transfer RNA (tRNA) molecules are approximately 80 nucleotides in length. Their secondary structure includes four short double-helical elements and three loops (D, anti-codon, and T loops). Further hydrogen bonds mediate the characteristic L-shaped molecular structure. tRNAs have two regions of fundamental functional importance: the anti-codon, which is responsible for specific mRNA codon recognition, and the 3' end, to which the tRNAs corresponding amino acid is attached (by aminoacyl-tRNA synthetases). tRNAs cope with the degeneracy of the genetic code in two manners: having more than one tRNA (with a specific anti-codon) for a particular amino acid; and 'wobble' base-pairing, i.e. permitting non-standard base-pairing at the 3rd anti-codon position. The record is from RNAcentral. Lineage: Bacteria; Bacillati; Actinomycetota; Actinomycetes; Bifidobacteriales; Bifidobacteriaceae.
GUGGGCGUAGCUCAGUCGGUAGAGCACCUGAUUGUGGUUCAGGAGGUCGCGUGUUCGAGCCACGUCGCCCACC